Molecule: long non-coding RNA, 1688 nt
Filed under: Homo sapiens (human)
Lineage: Eukaryota; Metazoa; Chordata; Mammalia; Primates; Hominidae
Description: long independently transcribed non-coding RNA 2377, transcript variant 22 (LINC02377)
Source: RNAcentral
GCCAGAUAAGGGAAGCAGGCCUCCGAAGCCAGCAGUGGCAACCCACUUGGGUCCCUUUCAAUGCUGUGGAAGCGUUGUUCUUUCACUCUUCUCAAUAAAUCUUGCUGCUGCUCACUCUUUGGGUCUGCCCCGCUGUUAUGAGCUGUAACACUCACAGCCAGUGUCUGCAGUUUCACUCCUGAAGCCAGCAAGACCACAAACCCACAGGGCGGGACAAACAACUCCGGACAGGAGGAAUGAACAACUCUGGACGCGCCACUUCUAUGAACUUUUAUGAACUGUAACACUCACCGCAAAGGUCUGCAGCUUCACCCCUGAGGCCAGGGAGACCACGAACCCACCGGAAGGAAUGAACAACUCCAGACGCACUGCCUUUAAGAGCUGUAACACUUACCACGGAUGUCUGCAGCUUCACUCCUGAAGUCAGCGAGACCACAAACCCAACAGAAGGAAGAAACUCCCGACACAUCUGAACAUCUGAAGGAACAAACUCUGGACACACCAUCUUUAAGAACUGUAACACUCACCGUGAGGGUCAACCGCUUCAUUCUUGAAGUCAGCCAGACCAAGAACCCACCAAUUCCGAUGAAUGCCAGAUGCCUCUAGUGAGCCACCUUGAAUCACUAUUCUGAAUACAUCUUGAGUAAAAAGAGAAAAUUGCUCAUGUUUCCAUGUCUAUCUGAAUCAUGUUAUUGGACCAUGAGAGCAAGCAGCUGGAUCUCAUUCUGUCCAGGUACAAAUAUACUAAAUUAACAUAAGUAGCAUAUCAUAUGUGUCAUAUGUGUGCUGAAUAUGUUAUAUUUAAUAACUAAAAAACCUUAAAACCUUACUUUUUUGGUACUUUUAAAUACCAAGAAUUAAUUAAUUAAUUAAUUAAUUUAGCUUGUGUCCAUUUCCUCUUACAAGUAUAUAGGAAACUUUUUACUCUCUGAAUCUUUAUAAAAUUGCAAGUCUUGGUGAACAGUAAUUGUCUUCUUGGAUAAUAUUUAUGCAAAGAGUGUUUGGAGACAUCUAUAUUCUGGAUAAAACUAAUUAUUUAAUACAGUACUUUUUUUAAAGGACAUGCUAUUUUAACUUCACUUCAGCAAAGUUUAUCUGUAGGCACUUAUAUAUGCACUUAAAACAAAAUUUAAAUAAAUGAGCAUGAUUUUUUUCCUUACUUUAAGUGGACUGGCAUCUUUCCCAUAUGUUUUGCAUGUAACAACAUUCCCAAAAAGUUAAGUGCAUCUAGGAUACACCUUAUUUAAUAACCUUAGCACCAGCUGCUCAUAUUCACUGCCAGAAAUCAUGCUUUUUUGUACACAGCCUAAAGGCAAAAAAAAAUAAAAAGUGAUUUAGAAGCUGCUACUAGGCUGAAAGGUAAAUCAGUGUUCCACAUAAUUCAAAACUUACUUUUUAUAAAAAAGCAAAUAAAAGCACAAAAGUAAUUUUAGCUGAAUAUUUAAAAAGUAAUUCUAUAUGGUAUGACACUUACUACAACAGAAACUUUUGCUUACUUUCAUAGGACUCCUGGAAACAGCAGCUCUAACAAAAUUGUCUUCAAUAAAUAAGUUUUUUUGCAUCACAUUUGUGUAUGUCCUGAAUGUUCUGAGCCCUUCAGAUUUGACUCAUAUUCAUGCUAAAAGAAAAAAUGCAAAUGAAAAUUGUAUAGCUAAUUAUGAGAAAAAUAAAGCAUCAUAAGAAAACCA